GCCCCUGUUGUCUAAUGGUUAUGACGUCAGACUUCUAUAACAGUUCCAUCUGGAGGUUGCGGGUUCGAGUCCCGCCAGGGGUU
Non-coding RNA from Termitomyces sp. T32_za158, 83 nucleotides. NCBI's taxonomy places the organism in Eukaryota, Fungi, Basidiomycota, Agaricomycetes, Agaricales, Lyophyllaceae. The record is from the annotation of a GenBank genome assembly.